Molecule: long non-coding RNA, 402 nt
Organism: Pieris napi
Lineage: Eukaryota; Metazoa; Arthropoda; Insecta; Lepidoptera; Pieridae
Exons: 2
Source: RefSeq, a predicted model, not a curated record
UUUUGUUCUACUCUUGAAACAAAAGGCUAUUUAAACAAAGUAACGUAUUGGAUUGCUGUAAAAUGUAAUCAAUGUAAAAAACGAAUGUUGUUGUAUAGAUUACAGAGUUCAAUGGAUCGAACGUUCGUUUUUCUCAUUGUAUGGUGUUUGAUAUGGAGUGAUGCUUAUGCUGCGUUUUCUAAAAUCUUUGGUACCCAAGAUAAGAAAAUAAUACAACAUGAUAACGGUGUGGAGUUUGAAGCAAUAUCCAGAGGUACCUUGCUGCAAAUCCUGUCAUCCCUCGACGAGAACGUCAGAUCGAGGAUGGAAGGAAAGCAACCCAUCUUCAGAGCAGACUUUGCGAACAACAAGCAUACAUAUCCAUUUAUUUACCCGCGUAUAAUAAAAAAAGUUUCUUUCUGA